RNAcentral lists this non-coding RNA (109 nucleotides) under Enterococcus aquimarinus. Its description in RNAcentral is "Enterococcus sRNA 68 (Lacto-3 RNA)". It matches the Rfam family "Enterococcus sRNA 68 (Lacto-3 RNA)". From Rfam's summary of the family: Name 'Ref' stands for RNA in E. faecalis. The record is from Rfam by way of RNAcentral. Lineage: Bacteria; Bacillati; Bacillota; Bacilli; Lactobacillales; Enterococcaceae.
UGCGACAGAGCCGAGGAGAACUAGUUCGUCUAGUUAACUCAAACAGAGGCACAUGAAGUGAUUCACCUACCGGAUUUGUAGGGUGUCGGAAUCUUUUUUUGUGGAGAAG